RNAcentral lists this small RNA (102 nucleotides) under Marmota monax (woodchuck). Lineage: Eukaryota; Metazoa; Chordata; Mammalia; Rodentia; Sciuridae. The record is from RNAcentral.
GCUGGGUGUAGUGGUGCACGCCUGUAAUCCCAGUGACUUGGGAGGCUGAGACAAGAGGAUUGCAAAGUUCAAGGCCUUGAACCUAGCGAGACCCUGUCUCAA